AUGAUUGAGAAUCGAAUAGAAUGAAGAAUGGAUAGACUUGUUAGUUACUGGAUGAUGAGGAUCACACUAACUUUCAAGUGGAGAGAGAAGAAUCUUUGUAGUUGUUUCUUGUAGUGAAGAUGAAGACCUUAUCAAUCGUUAGAUUCGAAUUGCACUAAAGUCUAUGAACGGAGGUGAAUACAAUGAGCGUUGGGUCAUGCGUCCCAUACCCAAAGAUACUCAGAAUGGGGAUAGGAAUACUCCAGUCCCACUCC
This 254-nucleotide long non-coding RNA is filed under the name Lathyrus oleraceus (garden pea). Its description in RNAcentral is "Pisum sativum (pea) long non-coding RNA (PSAT_LNC022169)". Lineage: Eukaryota; Viridiplantae; Streptophyta; Magnoliopsida; Fabales; Fabaceae. The record is from RNAcentral.